CAGGGAUUGCCCUAGUAACGGCGAGUGAAGCGGCAAAAGCUCAGAUUUGAAAUCUGGUGUUGAUCAAACAUCCGAGUUGUAAUCUGUAGAGAGGUACUUCCAAUGUAAGAAUUGGCCUAAGUUUCUUGGAACAGGACGUCAUAGAGGGUGAGAACCCCGUCUUUGGUCUUUUCUUUCAUUGAUAUAAGUCUUCUUCAAUGAGUCGAGUUGUUUGGGAAUGCAGCUCUAAAUGGGUGGUAAAUUCCAUCUAAAGCUAAAUAUUGGCAAGAGACCGAUAGCGCACAAGUAGAGUAAUCGAAAGAUGAAAAGAACUCUGGACAGAGAGUUAAAUAGUACGUGAAAUUGUUGAAAGGGAAGCACUUGCUACCAGACGCAUGGGCAGUUAAUCAGCCUACAUUUAUGUAGGUGCACUUGACUGUUCGUGGGUCAGCAUCAGUUUGGUCAAUGAGAAAAAUACUUGAGGAAUGUGGCUUCCUUCGGGAAGUGUUAUAGCCUCUUGUAAGUAUCAGCGAUUAGACUGAGGACCGCACAAUGUGAGGAUGCUGGCAUAAUGGUCGUAAGUGACCCGUCUUGAAACACGGACCAAGGAGUCUAACAUCUAUGCGAGUGUUUGGGUUAAAAAACCCUCAUGCGAAAUGAAAGUGAAUGCAGAUGGUAGGCGUAAGCUGCCCCAUCGACCGAUCCUGAUGUUCUCGGAUGGAUUUGAGUAUGAGCAUAGAUGUUGGGACCCGAAAGAUGGUGAACUAUGCCUGAAUAGGGUGAAGCCAGAGGAAACUCUGGUGGAGGCUCGCAGCGGUUCUGACGUGCAAAUCGAUCGUCAAAUUUGGGUAUAGGGGCGAAAGACCAAUCGAACCAUCUAG
This 860-nucleotide ribosomal RNA is filed under the name Pachyella clypeata. RNAcentral's name for it is "eukaryotic LSU rRNA". It matches the Rfam family "Eukaryotic large subunit ribosomal RNA", at positions 69 to 947 of the family's 3401-position model. Lineage: Eukaryota; Fungi; Ascomycota; Pezizomycetes; Pezizales; Pezizaceae. The record is from RNAcentral.